RNAcentral lists this unclassified non-coding RNA (339 nucleotides) under soil metagenome. Its description in RNAcentral is "partial contains 5.8S ribosomal RNA, internal transcribed spacer 2, and large subunit ribosomal RNA". The stretch from base 1 to 120 matches the Rfam family "5.8S ribosomal RNA", at positions 35 to 154 of the family's 154-position model. The record is from RNAcentral.
GAUGAAGAACGCAGCGAAAUGCGAUAAGUGAUGUGAAUUGCAGAAUUCAGUGAAUCAUCGAAUCUUUGAACGCACAUUGCGCCCGCCAGUAUUCUGGCGGGCAUGCCUGUCCGAGCGUCAUUUCAACCAUCAAGCCCCCGGGCUUGUGUUGGGGACCUGCGGCUGCCCGCAGGCCCUGAAAACCAGUGGCGGGCUCGCUGUCACACCGAGCGUAGUAGCAAUCACCUCGCUCAGGGCGUGCUGCGGGUUCCGGCCGUUAAACAGCCUUACAAAACCCAAGGUUGACCUCGGAUCAGGUAGGAAGACCCGCUGAACUUAAGCAUAUCAAUAAGCGGAGGA